Molecule: ribosomal RNA, 468 nt
Filed under: uncultured bacterium
Lineage: Bacteria
Description: partial 16S ribosomal RNA
Rfam family: Bacterial small subunit ribosomal RNA
Source: RNAcentral
GACGAACGCUGGCGGCGUGCUUAACACAUGCAAGUCGAACGGAAAGGCCCUGCUUUUGUGGGGUGCUCGAGUGGCGAACGGGUGAGUAACACGUGAGUAACCUGCCCUUGACUUUGGGAUAACUUCAGGAAACUGGGGCUAAUACCGGAUAGGAGCUCCUGCUGCAUGGUGGGGGUUGGAAAGUUUCGGCGGUUGGGGAUGGACUCGCGGCUUAUCAGCUUGUUGGUUGGGUAGUGGCUUACCAAGGCUUUGACGGGUAGCCGGCCUGAGAGGGUGACCGGCCACAAUGGGACUGAGAUACGGCCCAGACUCCUACGGGAGGCAGCAGUGGGGAAUAUUGCACAAUGGGCGGAAGCCUGAUGCAGCAACGCCGCGUGCGGGAUGACGGCCUUCGAGUUGUAAACCGCUUUCGCCUGUGACGAAGCGUGAGUGACGGUAAUGGGUAAAGAAGCACCGGCUAACUACGUG